Dermacentor andersoni is the source of this 695-nucleotide long non-coding RNA. RefSeq lists it as uncharacterized. Lineage: Eukaryota; Metazoa; Arthropoda; Arachnida; Ixodida; Ixodidae. The record is from RefSeq and is a predicted model, not a curated record.
GAGGCUGCGCGUCCGCCAUCGCAGAAGGGGAGGCUUCCCCGGCGGCACACGCAUCGUAUCGACUGAGAGACCCGUGCCCGUGACCGAACAUAUAAAUGCAUCAGAACUCCCGACAGGCACCACGGAGACACCAAAUUGCACCUUGCGGCCCGACAGGAGCUGUUGCGAGCAACCGCGUUGAACCUGGCGGCGGCCGUAGCCCGUGCGAGCGCAAUCGCCGAGGCGACCGCCCGACCCCGACGGAGCCAUGUUUCGUGUUGGGCUCGCCGAUUUAAAUGGCCGUGCGAGCAGCUGGCACUGCUCGCUUGCCACGCCAGGGAAUACAGCCCGUUCUGUGCUCGAUUCACAUGGACACAGCGCUGAGGACUAAACCCGGCCUUGCCGCCUGUGCUCAUCUACUUUGACUGGCGCUGCUCUGCCUUUAAAUAUAUCAUGUGGCACUUCUCUCUAGUAACAUUUAAAUAAAGUACUGAAAAGCUAGUCGGACUUCAGCUUUGUACGUUUCCAAGAAGCUCCCUUCGGGAAUUUAAAAUUGCAAGAACUGCAGCGGGAACGGCAGUUCAUCGGCGUAUGCAGCAAAAUUGCAUGUGUACAUUGUGUACAGCUGUAACACGCUCUUUUAUUAACCUGUGCAUUUGGUGACUUCGUUGACUAGUGUAUGCGUUUCCAUCAAUAAAUUCGCAAUUACUCUUCUU